RNAcentral lists this small RNA (831 nucleotides) under uncultured Cryptococcus. Its description in RNAcentral is "eukaryotic LSU rRNA". The stretch from base 546 to 831 matches the Rfam family "Eukaryotic large subunit ribosomal RNA", at positions 1 to 281 of the family's 3401-position model. Lineage: Eukaryota; Fungi; Basidiomycota; Tremellomycetes. The record is from RNAcentral.
CUUGGUCAUUUAGAGGAAGUAAAAGUCGUAACAAGGUUUCCGUAGGUGAACCUGCGGAAGGAUCAUUAGUGAAUUGAGCUGGCUUCGGCCGCUCUGAUCUAUACACACCUGUGAACUGUUGGCCUUCGGGUCUUUAAAUACAACUGUGACGAACGUAAAUUAUUAUAAUCAAUAAAACUUUUAACAACGGAUCUCUUGGCUCUCGCAUCGAUGAAGAACGCAGCGAAAUGCGAUAAGUAAUGUGAAUUGCAGAAUUCAGUGAAUCAUCGAAUCUUUGAACGCACCUUGCGCCCGUUGGUAUUCCGACGGGCAUGCCUGUUUGAGUGUCGUGAACAACCUCAACCUUGAUUGGUUUUACCAUCAAGGCUUGGACUUGGGUGUUGCUGCUGCAAAGUGGCUCGCCUUAAAACUAUUAGCUGGACUUGUCUAUGACUUGGUUCGACUCGAUGUAAUAAGUAUUCAUCGGGGACAGGGUUAAACCUGGCCAAGGCUUGAUGCCGUCUGCUUCUAAUCAUGUUCUCACUAUGAGACGCUACUUUACUGUGUGGCCUCAAAUCAGGUAGGAUUACCCGCUGAACUUAAGCAUAUCAAUAAGCGGAGGAAAAGAAACUAACAAGGAUUCCCCUAGUAACGGCGAGUGAAGCGGGAUGAGCUCAAAUUUGUAAUCUGGUGGACUCAGUUCAUCCGAGUUGUAAUCUAUAGAAAAGUUUUCCGCGCCGGACCGUGUCUAAGUCCCUUGGAACAGGGUGUCAGAGAGGGUGAGAAUCCCGUGCUUGAUACGACCACCGGUGCUAUGUGAUACUUUUUCAACGAGUCGAGUUGUUUGGGAAU